Oncorhynchus kisutch (coho salmon) is the source of this 1920-nucleotide long non-coding RNA. Lineage: Eukaryota; Metazoa; Chordata; Actinopteri; Salmoniformes; Salmonidae. The record is from Ensembl.
AUGCCUCCCCGACACACACCUCUCCAACACACGCCUCUCCCCUUCCCUCUCCGACACACGCCUCUCCCCGACACACACCUCUCCAACACACGCCUCUCCCCGACACACACCUCUCCAACACACGCCUCUCCCUUCCCUCUCCGACACACGCCUCUCCCCUUCCCUCUCCGACACACGCCUCUCCCCUUCCCUCUCCGACACACGCCUCUCCCAUUCCCUCGCCGACCACACGCCUCCCUUCCUCUCCGACACACGCCUCUCCCCUUCCCUCUCCGACACACGCCUCUCCCUUCCCUCUCCGACACACGCCUCUCCCCUUCCCUCUCCGACACACGCCUCUCCCCUUCCCUCUCCGACACACGCCUCUCCCCUUCCUCUCUCCGACACACGCCUCUCCCCUUCCCUCUCCGACACACGCCUCUCCCCUUCCCUCUCCGACACACGCCUCUCCCCUUCCCUCUCCGACACACGCCUCUCCCCUUCCCUCUCCGACACACGCCUCUCCCCCUUCCCUCUCCGACACACCCUCUCCCCUUCCCUCUCCGACACACGCCUCUCCCCUUCCCUCUCCGACACACGCCUCUCCCCUUCCCUCUCCGACACACGCCUCUCCCCUUCCCUCUCCGACACACGCUCUCCCCUUCCCUCUCCGACACACGCCUCUCCCUUCCCUCUCCGACACACGCCUCUCCCCUUCCCUCUCCGACACACGCCUCUCCCCUUCCCUCUCCGACACACGCCUCUCCCCUCCCUCUCCGACACACGCCUCUCCCCUCCCUCUCCGACACACGCCUCUCCCCUUCCCUCUCCGACACACGCUCUCCCUCCCUCUCGACACACGCCUCUCCCCUUCCCGUCCGCCCACGCCUCUCCCCUUCCCUCUCCGACACACGCCUCUCCCCUUCCCUCUCCGACACACGCCUCUCCCCUUCCCUCUCCGACACACGCUCUCAUCCCUCUCCGACACACGCCUCUCGACACACGCCUCUCCGACACACGCCUCUCCGACACACGCCUCUCCGACACACGCCUCUCCGACACACGCCUCCCACUCCCCGACACACGCCUCCCCCCUCCCCAUGUCCAUGUACCAUUCUAUUUAGUAUAGUUGCUUAUCUCUAUAUGGGUACGGCCCCAUAUAGAGAUAAGCAACUAUACGCCUCCCCGACACACGCCUCCCCCCUCUCCGACACACGCCCCUCCCCCCCUCUCCGACACACGCCCCUCCCCCCUCUCCGACACACGCCCCUCCCCCCUCUCCGACACACGCCCCUCCCCCCUCUCCGACACACGCCCCUCCACCCUCUCCGACACACGCCCCUCCACCCUCUCCGACACGCCCCUCCACCCUCUCCGACACACGCCCCUCCCCCUCUCCGACACACGCCACUCCCCCCCACUCCGACACACGCCACUCCCCGACACACGCCACUCCCCGACACACGCCUCUCCCCCCUCUCCGACACACGCCCCUCCACCCUCUCCGACACACGCCCCUCCACCCUCUCCGACACACGCCCCUCCCCCUCUCCGACACAUGCCACUCCCCCCCCUCUCCGACACACGCCACUCCCCCCCACUCCGACACACGCCACUCCCCGACACACGCCACUCCCCGACACACGCCUCUCCCAUUCCCUCUCCGACACACGCCUCUUCGACACACGCCUCUCCCCUCCCCGACACACGCCUCUCCGACACACCCCUCCCCCCUCCCCGACACACGCCUCCCCCCCUCCCCGACACACGCCUUUCCUACAAACAUCUACAAUCACCAUCUUAGUAUGUUGUUUUACCCAUCUUGUGUUCAUUGUCUCAACUUUUGCAAUAUUGUGUGUACAGCAGUAUUUUAAUAAAAUAUACCAAAACACAGUGUGUUGUCUUAGUGUCAUGCAUGUGAAGACCAGAGGAUUGUCUUGA